RNAcentral lists this ribosomal RNA (438 nucleotides) under uncultured bacterium. RNAcentral describes it as "bacterial SSU rRNA". It matches the Rfam family "Bacterial small subunit ribosomal RNA", at positions 958 to 1398 of the family's 1533-position model. The record is from RNAcentral.
AACGCGAAGAACCUUACCUGCUCUUGACAUGCUAGGAAGAUUCCAGAGAUGGGAUUGUGCCUUCGGGAACCUAGACACAGGUGCUGCAUGGCUGUCGUCAGCUCGUGUCGUGAGAUGUUGUCUUAAGUGACGCAACGAGCGCAACCCUUACUACUAGUUGCCAUAAUUAAGUUUGGAACUCUAGUGGGACUGCCGGUGCUAAGCCGGAGGAAGGUGGGGAUGACGUCAAGUCCUCAUGGCCCUUAUGAGCAGGGCUUCACACGUCAUACAAUGGUAGGUACAGACGGUUGCCAACCCGCGAGGGGGAGCUAAUCUGAGAAAGCCUAUCGUAGUCCGGAUUGUAGUCUGCAACUCGACUACAUGAAGUCGGAAUCGCUAGUAAUCGCAGAUCAGAAUGCUGCGGUGAAUACGUUCUCGGGCCUUGUACACACCGGAGUA